RNAcentral lists this ribosomal RNA (497 nucleotides) under uncultured bacterium. RNAcentral's name for it is "partial 16S ribosomal RNA". It matches the Rfam family "Bacterial small subunit ribosomal RNA", at positions 28 to 507 of the family's 1533-position model. The record is from RNAcentral.
GAUGAACGCUGGCGGCGUGCCUAAUACAUGCAAGUCGAGCGAACGGACGAGAAGCUUGCUUCUCUGAUGUUAGCGGCGGACGGGUGAGUAACACGUGGAUAACCUACCUAUAAGACUGGGAUAACUUCGGGAAACCGGAGCUAAUACCGGAUGAUAUUUUGAACCGCAUGGUUCAAAAGUGAAAGAUGGUCUUGCUGUCACUUAUAGAUGGAUCCGCGCUGCAUUAGCUAGUUGGUAAGGUAACGGCUUACCAAGGCAACGAUGCAUAGCCGACCUGAGAGGGUGAUCGGCCACACUGGAACUGAGACACGGUCCAGACUCCUACGGGAGGCAGCAGUAGGGAAUCUUCCGCAAUGGGCGAAAGCCUGACGGAGCAACGCCGCGUGAGUGAUGAAGGUCUUCGGAUCGUAAAACUCUGUUAUUAGGGAAGAACAUAUGUGUAAGUAACUGUGCACAUCUUGACGAUACCUAAUCAGAAAGCCACGGCUAACUACGUG